This 1020-nucleotide ribosomal RNA is filed under the name Collemopsidium sp. C IGB-2016. RNAcentral describes it as "bacterial SSU rRNA". It matches the Rfam family "Eukaryotic small subunit ribosomal RNA", at positions 135 to 1070 of the family's 1831-position model. Lineage: Eukaryota; Fungi; Ascomycota; Collemopsidiomycetes; Collemopsidiales; Xanthopyreniaceae. The record is from RNAcentral.
CUACAUGGAUAACCGUGGUAAUUCUAGAGCUAAUACAUGCCAAAAACCCCGACUCACGGAGGGGUGUAUUUAUUAGAUAAAAAACCGACGCCCUUCGGGGCUCACCGGUGAUUCAUGAUAACUUCACGAAUCGCAUGGCCUUGCGCCGGCGAUGGUUCAUUCAAAUUUCUGCCCUAUCAACUUUCGAUGGUAGGAUAGUGGCCUACCAUGGUGUCGACGGGUGACGGGGAAUUAGGGUUCGAUUCCGGAGAGGGAGCCUGAGAAACGGCUACCACAUCCAAGGAAGGCAGCAGGCGCGCAAAUUACCCAAUCCCGACACGGGGAGGUAGUAAGUUUUUGACCCCACCUUUUUUUUCUCUCUUCUUCUUCUCUCUCUCUCCCCCUCCGAUCCGUAUGCUAACGUUCUCUUUCUUUCCCCCAGGUGACAAUAAAUACCGAUGCAGGGCUCUUAUGGGUCUUGUAAUUGGAAUGAGUACAAUUUAAAUCCCUUAACGAGGAACAAUUGGAGGGCAAGUCUGGUGCCAGCAGCCGCGGUAAUUCCAGCUCCAAUAGCGUAUAUUAAAGUUGUUGCAGUUAAAAAGCUCGUAGUUGAACCUUGGGCCUGGCUGGCCGGUCCGCCUCACCGCGUGCACUGGUCCGGCCGGGCCUUUCCUUCUGGGGAUCCGCAUGCCCUUCACUGGGCGUGUCGGGGAACCAGGACUUUUACUUUGAAAAAAUUAGAGUGUUCAAAGCAGGCCUUUGCUCGAAUACAUUAGCAUGGAAUAAUAGAAUAGGACGAGCGGUUCUAUUUUGUUGGUUUCUAGGACCGCCGUAAUGAUUAAUAGGGAUAGUCGGGGGCAUCGGUAUUCAAUUGUCAGAGGUGAAAUUCUUGGAUUUAUUGAAGACCAACUACUGCGAAAGCAUUUGCCAAGGAUGUUUUCAUUAAUCAGUGAACGAAAGUUAGGGGAUCGAAGACGAUCAGAUACCGUCGUAGUCUUAACCAUAAACCAUGCCGACUAGGGAUCGGGCGACGUUUCCAUU